Mastomys coucha (southern multimammate mouse) is the source of this 4831-nucleotide RNA transcript. It is a transcript of the gene named retrotransposon Gag like 6, with no coding region annotated. The record is from RefSeq and is a predicted model, not a curated record. The transcript is spliced from 2 exons. NCBI's taxonomy places the organism in Eukaryota, Metazoa, Chordata, Mammalia, Rodentia, Muridae.
UUCCGGAAGGCAAGGUCCCGGCCGCCGCUCCCGGAGCGAGCGGUCUCUAUGGCAACCAGCAGACCCUGGCUCGCUUGCAAGGUUCCCAGCGGCCGUCUAGCCGGCAGCGCCUGCACAAAGACCGCGCGGUGACCGCGUAGCACAGCGCAGCGCCGAGACCCGGCCAAGCCAGCCCGGCGGGAAUUGCCAUCCCCGCCGCUGCUGCCCGGGAAGCAGUUCCGGCGGCCUCCGUGACGUGCAGGCCGGGCGCGGCCUCGACCCUCGGGCCAUCUUGGCAGCGGAGGGAGCGGCGGAGCGACAGGUACACACGCCGCCGGGCCCGGGCCAGCCCAGGUGCCGCCGCCUUUGUUCACGCGCGGGUGGUCGCAUGGCACCCGUGGGCAGUGCCUGCAUCCGCAGCCCGAGCUCCGGCAGGUGCAUCCUGCAAAGUCUGGGAAGCGCAGGUCCGCGCAUCUCGUGAGGCCUAUGCAUCCUUACAAGAGCUGAGCAGAUCCAGCUCGAGCAUCCUUAAAGGCCUGGGCAGGUCCAGCCAGCGCCCCAUACCUUGACCCCGCGAAGCUUGCAGAAAGGAACUGCGUCCAGGACAGGACCAGCGUCCCCAGGCUUGCUUCAGCACCCAAGGCCUUUCUCUCUGGUUUUCCAGGUACCUGUGGCUUGACGUUGGCCAGCAUGGUCCAACCUCAGACCUCCAAAACUGAAAGCCCAGCCUCUGCCCCUGGUGCCAGCGCUCAGAUGGAUGACGUAGUUGACACCCUGACCUCUCUGCGCCUCACCAACUCUGCGCUGAGGCGCGAGGCCUCCACACUGAGGGCGGAGAAGGCCAACCUCACCAACAUGCUGGAGAGUGUGAUGGCCGAGCUAACUCUGCUGCGCACCCGGGCGCGCAUCCCUGGCGCUCUGCAGAUCACUCCACCCAUCUCUGCCAUCACCUCCAAUGGGACCCGACCCAUGACCACGCCACCCACCUCACUGCCUGAACCCUUCUCGGGAGACCCUGGACAGUUGGCAGGGUUCCUGAUGCAGAUGGAUAGGUUCAUGAUCUUUCAAGCCUCACGCUUCCCCGGUGAAGCGGAGAGAGUGGCCUUCCUGGUGUCCCGUCUGACUGGGGAGGCAGAGAAGUGGGCCAUCCCCCACAUGCAACCAGACAGCCCUUUGAGAAACAAUUACCAGGGGUUUCUGGCUGAGCUACGCAGAACCUACAAGUCCCCACUGAGGCACUCACGGCGAGCACAAAUCCGGAAGACAUCUGCGUCCAAUAGGGCCGUUCGGGAGCGGGAGCGAGAGCGCCAGAUGUUGUGUCGCCAACUUGCCGUAGCUGGCACAGGAUCCUGCCCGGUGCAUCCAGCCUCCAACGGGACCAGUCCCGCACCAGCCUUGCCCUCUCGAGGCCGGAACCUUUAGGGACCUGCCACCACCCUGGUAAUCUGUGUCCACCCAGGUAGCUAGACUCUGUCAUUGAGAAGAGUUGUCAAUACAGUAGCAUUGCCCUGUUCGAGGCACCCUUCACGACUCUCUGGUCUACGGGAGGCCAUCUUGCCAUCUGCAUUGGUCACCCACCCUGCUGUGCGUUUUUUUGUUGUUUUUUUUGUUUUGUUUUUGCUAGCUUUACCUGCAACUCAGUGCAUGCUCCCCCUUCUGUUGCUUGCCACCCCAGCUUCUCUAGCAAUCACAACACAGCCCCUUGGGCAUGUGCCUGCCCAGGAACAAUUUAGGCUGACCACUUCUUCGAGCUCAGCUCAAGGAUACUCAGCUCCUGGAGCACUUCCUUCGGGCGCCUUGGGAGUUCCUUUCCUGAGCAUUCUGGGUAGGAAGAAGGCAGCUUGGCCUGACAGGUGGCUGAUGUAUACCUGAACCAGCUUGUCCAUAUGUGGUUACUUUGCAAGGUGGCCAGGUAGUCACUCUGCAUCCCAGAGAUACUUUCCUCUGUUGUGGGGAGCUUGUAUCCCAGCGUACUCCACUGCUGCUGUUGGGAAGGUCUCUUCCUUCAUAGACAUGUGCCAGCCUCUCUUGUCCAUGGGAGACUCCUUCACACCUGCCCAUGCCUCCUGCCAGUGUUCUGAUGGCAGUAAGGACAUGCAUCAUUCAUCCGCCAAGUUAACUGUGGACCUGGGACCCUGGGCAGUUGUAUCAGGCUCGUGCCUCAGUUCUAGCAGACUGAGGGGGACCCUGGGAACUUCAUUUGCUGCCUGGAUUUCCUGGGAAAGGCUCCCAGGUGUCCGCUCAUUCCUGCCCGUGGCUCCAUGCUGGGCCUUGCUACUGACUCUUCCCCUUUCCACCCAGGUGCCAUGUGGCUUUCACCUCAACCUUUCAGCCACCCACACUGUCUCUAGGAGUCCAAGGAACCCACACAACAUAUCCUCUAUGUUCCUGGGCCUAAUGUCUAGCCUUCAUCUGAGAACAAAAGACUGGCUGGAGGCCAGUUCCUCUGGGAGACACUGAGCAUCUUCAGUAGGGUGUGUUGGCUUCUUGCUGCCCCAGUCUGAAGAACUGUAGAAGAGUGGCCAACUGCUUUGGUUCUCAUGUAGACACACAGUUCCGAGGAACAAAGCCUCACAGGAGGAUGACUUCUCAAGAUCAUACUCGGACUCAGCCAAGCCUCUGGACAAUGACAUUUAUCUGUCACUUCAAUGCCAAAUGAACUGUGUUUACAUACCUACCUGGCCCCUUGGGGGAGAUGGGUGCCUCUCCUGGGUUUUCCUGCCCUCCUCUGCAUGGUCUUGGCCUGACCACAAGGAAAAUAACAACAACAACAAACCGCCUCUGCACCCACGGAAACACACCUCUGUCCUCUUGGGAGCCCAGAAGCUGGGGCCUGGAACCUGGCCUCUUCCAGAGACUUCCUUUGUCAUUGGGAAAAGUGACUGAUUCUUAUCAAGGCAGCCACCUUUGCAAGGCCAGGAGUCUUCGAUGCUCACUGGGCUCAGCCCACAGCCACCUGCUUCUUGUCAACUCCAUCAGCCUAGCAGCCUCAGUGAACAGCCAGGGGACCCUGCUGGCACCAUGGUGCUACAAGCAGGUGGAAGACUCCUGGGGUUCCAUUGAGAGCACUCAUCUGUCCCCAGCAGCUGACUCUCACGCAUGACCUUCCGGUAGAGGGGGUCCCCAGGUGAAGCUACAGCUGCACCAGAAAAUUGGGGGGUAGGGAGGAGGUGUCUGUGGAGGCAGGCGACAACUGCAAGGUUUCUUUGUGGCGUUCCAAGUUGGGGUUAGAGACCCACUCACGGGGGAGGCAGCUCGCCUGCCCUGGCUCCUCAGACCACGGGGUGCUGGCUGUAUUUGCAUUAGGUUCUGCUUCAGAGCCCUGAGUAGAUACUAGAGCCCAGGCUGCCUGUGUUAGAGGCACGAAGGCUGCCUGGCUCCAGGUGUGGCUUCAUUACCUUCCUUUGCAUCUGGUCUGACCCACCUGGGCCGCUCUGCCACAGUGGGUCCCUACUGCUGCUCUGGUGGCAUUGGCUUGGAGAUUGUCUUGUUUCUUGAUGCUUGUGUUUAUGGGAACGGGGUGGUGAUGCCAUGUGCUUAGGACCAUCUCAGUAGCUCUCUGUGGCAUGGAGCCUGGAGCACAUGAGAGAGGAUUGGGGUUUGCCCUCUACUUUGGACCUGGAAGAGCCUCUUGGGACCUGUUGCUGAGGAGCCCAUCAUGGCUCUCGUCGGGGGCAUGGUUAGUCCCCAGCCAAAACGACAAGAUGCAAGGCCCAUGCAGCCCCAAGGGAGACUGUGAUAACUGGCUGCAAAGCCAACGAAGAGGGGGAGGGGGACUUUGGACAUACCUUAAGGUUCUAGUUUCUUGAGCUCAGAAGAGAACAGAGAGAGGGGAAUGGAGGAGUUGCUGUCUGAAGGACUUGUGUCGCUCCACAUUGAUGGUCGUGGCAGUACUGUGCCUGCUCUCCAGACUUUGUGACACCCAUCUGGUAAGCAGGACUUCCCUGUACUCAGCGUCUGAUGGACAGUGGGACCUGGCCUUUGGGUGACUUCCCAGCCCAGUGUUUACUGUGACCUUGGGAUUAUCUCCAUGUCCCAAAGCACUCAGUGGCUUUGAGGAAACAGCAAAGACCCAUCUCCUUAUCCCCGGCUAAGUAAGUGACGAGGACCUCAUGUUGGACUUGGUGGCAGCCGGUCCAGCACAGAAGGUAGAGCUAAAGAGAGGAGUCCCCACCCAGUGCCAUCGACAGCUGGACCAGGGCUUCCUGUUUGCCACAGCAGCAUACCAGGAAAUCUGGGGGACCAGAGAGGGGAAAGAAAAUGGUAAAAUUCAGUGUUUUGAUGUUUCCUUCCUGUCCCUGGCCUCAUCUUUCUUUGCCUCUUAUAUAGCCAUAGUGCUGCCUGUAGACCCCCACCGUGUACAUAUGACAACACUGUUUCCAUGUGCCACCAACCUUACCCUCAGUGACUGUGAACUCUCUCCUCAGGCUGAGGGACAGUGCUGGCACGUCAGGUAGUGACAGUGUGUCAGGUUUUCCUCCAAGGUACUUCCUUGGGAUAGAUUCUCUAAGGUGGGAUUAUUGGAUUAAUGAACAUGAGCCCCUCUGAGACUUUUACUACCUACAGACAAAAUGGUUUCCAGAAGUUUCUGCGUCCACUGCACUGCCUCCAGCAAGGGGCAGUGCUCCUGAUUCAGGGUCUUCUCCUAGGCCCGAGAAUUCCCUGACUUGACGAGCACCAUGCUAUAGUUGCAUCCUUCGGUCCUGGCGUGCUGUGAGUUGUUUUAUACCAAGUGACUGCAUUUCCUCUUUUGCAGACUGCCGCUGUCCUUGCUCCACUGAAGGGCCUGACCAAUUUGUAAGAGCUCCAUAUGUAAUUAAAGAUACUAACCUGGUGUGUGUCAUAUCUGCUA